GUUUGAAACCUAGCGGGCUGGAUGACCAGUCUCUUCUAGCUCUAAGAUGCUCUAAUUCUCAAACACUGGGAUCCCUGGGCUCCAAAGAGGCAAGGUCCUGAUCCCUUCAAACCCCAGAAUUCUGAAGACAGACCUACCUGGUGUGAGGAAAUGGGAGGGAGCAGGAUGGGGAGAAGGAUGAAGCUGGCAAGACUUGUCCCCCUGUGCCCUGCCGGGAGGGGAGGGUCCAGUGUGGUUGUGGCAAGGGUGAGCUCACUCCAUUUAUUGUCCCAUCCUUUCACUGAAUGUUUGCAGUGACAAGCACCAGAGAGCAAACUGGGCUUCCCUCACUGAGGCCACACAGAGGACAGGCCAAGAAGCCCCACAGCACAACAUUCUCCUGAUGCCUGGGCUGGGCUGGAGCUCACAUAAGACGCUUGGAUUUCUUCUGCAGACUCUCGGUGACUGAUGCUAGAACUGACUUAUCAUCUUGGUCUGAAAGAGCAAAGCAAGCGUUUGUUAGUGUUAAUGAUGCUGGGGCAAGGGAAACUUCAAACUGCUGGACUUGCAGUUACUAUGCAGGAACCAGGGGCUGGAUCCUGCCUGAGAUCCUCAGUCCUCCCUGGGGCUAGGCCGCAGCUCCAGCCCCAGUCUCCCAAGGUCAGCUGAGCACGUGGGGCCAAGAGCUGCCAAUUAUUCAGCCCUUAAUAUUUGCCAAGCACUUCUGUGCACCAUCUCAUUUAAGCCUCACAAAAGCUCUAAGAAGUAGAUGAGAAAACAGGCUCAGCGUGGCCUGCCAAGGUCACAUGGCUGGUGAGUAGUGUAGCCAGGGCCCUGGGCCCAUGUGCUUACAACCAGAAUUAAGUUGUCAGGGAUCUCUCUAGCUGUGGAGUGAAAGCUGGAUGUCUCCCGCAGUGCCUUCCCUGGCCUAGUUCUGUUACACAGUUCAGCGGCCGCUCUGGAGGCAUCAUCUCAGUGCCAGACACUUAGCUGAGUAGUUGAGAGACAGAGACAUAGGACAUGGUCCUUUCCCCAAGGGAAGGCAUUCGUAACAGGAUGAAAAAGGUCUGUAACUGUGGACUCCACGGACGCCAAGGGAGUGCCAUGCAGAGUUCAGGGAACGGCAGAGGAUGAGGCUGGAGAGGUAGAUGGGGUGGCGGGGAGCCUCGUAGGUUGGGAUUUUACCAACAGGAUCAUGGAAAAGCUAGGAGUUUAAGCAACAGGGAGCAAGGCAGGUCAGCUUUGCAUUUAGAGUUCACACUACUAGCUAUGUAGCUGUGAAGACAGUAGAGUGUGUAGGAAGAAAUAAAGUAUUUCCCCUGCAAGUGCACAGAUGAGCAGAACAUGGAACACGUGUGUGUGUUCUUGCAAACUUGCAAGUCUGCAGGGGCAAGGCACAGAACAACUUUGAGAGGUGGGAGAGAGUGGUGCAAACGGUGCCGGUCAGAGAAUGUUUACAUUACCUGAUGGCAGAGUAAAUAAAAAACGGCGCCAGCCCUGCCAGAAGAGUCUGUCAACAGCCCAGAGACCGUGAUUUUGCGCAUCUGCCCCAGACGGGACACAGCUGCUCCCGGGGCACCCCCCACACCCCUCAGGUCCGGCUCCGCGGGGCCCUCACGUAGAUGGUGAGCGCACAGCUGCUACGGUCCUCGACUGCGCCGGCGGGCCCUGAGUGGGUCCCAAGGCCAUCUCCGUCGCCCGCCGGUUUAGAGCUCGGAAGGCGCCCCGAGACCCAGCCCACGGGACCCUGAUGACCUGGGUUAGCUUCCUAUGCUAUCAGCUCUGGGACCCCAACUUUAUACUGGUUCCUAAGGUUUCCCUUUUGCCAGUUUCCCACCUCCUUGCUGCUCCAGGCUUCCACGAGUGGAAGGCUGAUGGAGGAGUGGAGCCUGAUGGACCUGUGCCAGUUCCGCGAGAUUUUACGCUUUUCCAGCCCCGGGAGUCCCAGACUUCUUUCCAGCCACCGGCUUCCCGGCCCCGAGCUGUUAUUUGGAUGGCUUUUAACUCCGCAUCCGAGCUUUCCCCAACGUCAUCCCAGCCUCCGCGGUCUCCCCUCUCUCCCAUUGAGCCCCGCGUUUCCGGUUUCCCGG
RNAcentral lists this long non-coding RNA (2069 nucleotides) under Equus asinus (donkey). RNAcentral's name for it is "lncRNA (ENSEASG00005023927.1)". Lineage: Eukaryota; Metazoa; Chordata; Mammalia; Perissodactyla; Equidae. The record is from RNAcentral.